UGGAAAAGGGUGAAACCUAUACCACAGGAUUUAUUUGAUUUUUGUGGAUGCUUUCUUCAAGUUCAGCAAAAAAUACUGUCUCAGUUUCCAGGUUGGAUUACUGGUCCAUGUAAGUUAGCUUGCUACGGUUGACUUGCUACCAUUAACAUCAAUCCCUCUGCUUUAAAAGAUGAUGGAAAUCAUUUUAAGGUUUCCACAUUUGAUAACCAUCAAUGAUUCCUGCAGCAACAGUGCAUGGUGUAUCGGGAAAGAUAAGAUCAGCAAUGAUUUUGAUGUCUCCUGUGGUUAAAAUAGCUUGUGCACAUUCACUAUCUCGAUUUACAGACAAAUGAUGGAGAGACUAGAUUAUGAACACAGGUAGUAAAAACCUGGCAUGCUUCCCUUGACCUUAGAAGUCGGAUGAAGUGAUCCAAAGUACUUAAAGUGGUAAAACAGUUAGAAACGGUGAAAGUAAAGAAAUUCUAAUUCCAAUUCCUAAUGUAGUUACUGGAGGAGCACAGAGAAAGGUUACACGUUGCUGUCAAACUUAAACAAAUGAUGUACAAGGAAAAGACUCACUUAUCAGUGUCAAGUGUCAAGCAAGUUCUGCUCUGUUCAUCUCAUUGUGUAAUGCUUUUUUUUUUUGGCACGCCCUUGUGAGCAGCCUUCUGUAUAACUGCACAUGAGUACAGCUUAGCAAGCACAUUGUUUCCUGAUGCCCCUUAUUGCUUGGAAGAAAAUGACUGAGAGAAGAUACCAUAGAAAUGUUUGACAUUUUGAAGGGUUUCGAAACAUUUGACCCCAUUCAUUCCUGCUUCCAUUUAGAGAAACACAAGGAAUUGUAUUUAUAAAUCAAGAGCAACAAGACAAUAGAAAAUGCAUAAGAAUAUUCUAUUCACAAGAAGUACAGGAGCAGUUUACUGGUGUGGCUGGUGGAAUAAGAAAUCUUAAUGGAUUUCAUGAAGAAGCCAGUCAGGUUCCUGUCAACAAAUGCAUCUUGGGAAAUAAAUUAAAGGAAUGAUGCAUGAUAGAGAUUGAUUGACCGUGAAUCCAUUCCUGGCCAACAAUGUAAAAUGAAUAAUCUUUUUAUCAUCACAGAUCAAUGAACACCACUCCGCAUACAAUUCGACUGUUUAAAAGCAGGAUUCAUUCUUGUGUUUGUAGAGUGAAAGAUGAGCGUCUUAUUUAGGGAAUCCCUAAGACCUUCAGCUUUAACUACAUUAAUAUCUUUCAGACCAUUGUGAUUAGACCAACUUAUAGGCAAUGAAGAGAAUCUAAAAAUCGCUGCUUAACAUUUGGUGAUGUUACCAUUGCUGAAUCCCCACAGUCAACAUCCUGGGAGUUACCAUCGUCAAGAAUAUGAACUGGGCCACUGCUUAAAGAAAGUGUGAUUACAAUGGCACGCCAGAGGCCAAGAAUUCUGCGCCAAGUAAUUCACCUCCAGACUCCCCAAGGCCUGUCGACUGUCUACAGGACACUGUCAGUCUCGAAAUCCCCCAUCUAGGGAAAAGAUGACUACUAUUAAUUCUAGGAGGUAAAAACAAUGACUGCAGAUGCUGGAAACCAGAUUCUGGAUUAGUGGUGCUGGAAGAGCACAGCAGUUCAGGCAGCAUCCUGCUUCACGCUGCAACAUCCUGGUAAAUCUUUUUUGAACCUUGUCCACUUUAAUAACCUCCUUCCUGUAAUUGGGGGACCAGAACCUCCUGUUAACACUUGUUUAUUUUUUGGUUCAAUGAAGGGAACAGACCGAGUUUUCAAAACUGCUCCUUGUGUUGAGGUGAAAAAAUGCUCAUGUCACUGAGAAGAAAAAUUUCCAGUGAUAAGGGUUUCAAAAGAACAGUCAAAGGAUGAUGAACUAAACAACAAUUGGAGGAGAAAGCAUUUAAAGAGGGAGUCCAAAUCCAGAGGACAAAAAUAUCAACAUGAUCAUCCCUGAAAUCCAGUGAGAAUUCUGGAGAAAUGUCUUUUCCUAACAAGUGGUACCAACGUAAAAUCAUCCACUACAAGGAUCAGUAAAGCUGGUGAGAAGGAGUGUAUGUGGAGGAAUCCCACCAAUAGAAAAGUCAUAUGUUUCCCCAUGCAGCAUUUGAUCAUUCAUCAACAUUAUGGAAAGACAUACUAAUAUUUCCUACCUGUUUUACAAAGUGCAAUAAAUCCACUUCUUGGGAAUUUGAGCAGCAUUAUUUCCGAAAAUGAUCCUGACUCAACCUAAGUAUGCUUUUAGUAUCCAAUACAUUAAUGGCUGAUUUGAGACAGUGGUAUUGUCCCUAUCUCUGAGGCAGAAGGCCCAGGUUCAAGUCCCACCUGCUCCAGAAUCAUGUAAGAACCAUCUCUGAACUGGUCGAAUGUAAAAUAUCUUUAAUACCCAGUGCCAGAACAACACGGUAAAGUAAGACAGCCAUAGCCUAUUGAUUCAAGGAUUACAUUUACUCACACCUCACUAAACUUUGUUCUUAAUAUUUGCAAAUGAACAAAUUAACAGACAUUUCACAAUAUGGAUUAACAUGGAUUUUAAUCAG
Molecule: non-coding RNA, 2498 nt
Organism: Chiloscyllium plagiosum (whitespotted bambooshark)
Lineage: Eukaryota; Metazoa; Chordata; Chondrichthyes; Orectolobiformes; Hemiscylliidae
Source: RefSeq, a predicted model, not a curated record